UCCCAUCUUCUUAAGAUGGACUUUCAUUUUCGGUUGGCUCAACUACUUAGUUAGCGGGUCUGCUACAUUGUCUGCGAAGUCUGCUCUUCGUACCUCAAUAUGUUUCUUUUCGAGGUAGUCGUGUAUACGGCUGCUCUAUGUGCUUGAACUUUUGAUGAGACUUUGGCUCCUUAACAAGGGCUAUAAUGCCAUUAUCUUUGC
This 201-nucleotide long non-coding RNA is filed under the name Elaeis guineensis (African oil palm). RNAcentral describes it as "long non-coding RNA (EGUI_LNC057246)". Lineage: Eukaryota; Viridiplantae; Streptophyta; Magnoliopsida; Arecales; Arecaceae. The record is from RNAcentral.